RNAcentral lists this ribosomal RNA (481 nucleotides) under Hylomyscus stella (Stella wood mouse). RNAcentral's name for it is "partial 16S ribosomal RNA". It matches the Rfam family "Bacterial large subunit ribosomal RNA", at positions 1854 to 2561 of the family's 2925-position model. Lineage: Eukaryota; Metazoa; Chordata; Mammalia; Rodentia; Muridae. The record is from RNAcentral.
AUUGCCUGCCCAGUGACUAUAGUUUAACGGCCGCGGUAUCCUGACCGUGCAAAGGUAGCAUAAUCAUUUGUUCCUUAAUUAGGGACUAGUAUGAACGGCUAGACGAGGGAUCAACUGUCUCUUAUUUUUAAUCAGUGAAAUUGACCUUCCAGUGAAGAGGCUGGAAUACAAUAAUAAGACGAGAAGACCCUAUGGAGCUUAAAUUAACAAGCUUAAUCAUUAUAUCAACACCCUAAUGGCACAAAACAAAAAAUAUAAGCUUAAAAUUUUGGUUGGGGUGACCUCGGAGAAUAAAAAAUCCUCCGAAAGAUGUAUGACAUAGACCUACAAGUCAAAGUAACCCAAUUAUCCAAUUGACCCAAAAAUUGAUCAACGGACCAAGUUACCCUAGGGAUAACAGCGCAAUCCUAUUUAAGAGUCCAUAUCGACAAUAGGGUUUACGACCUCGAUGUUGGAUCAGGACAUCCCAAUGGUGCAGAAG